Molecule: transfer RNA, 91 nt
Filed under: Bacillota bacterium
Lineage: Bacteria; Bacillati; Bacillota
Also listed under: 1 other name
Description: Firmicutes bacterium tRNA-Ser
Rfam family: tRNA
About the family: Transfer RNA (tRNA) molecules are approximately 80 nucleotides in length. Their secondary structure includes four short double-helical elements and three loops (D, anti-codon, and T loops).
Source: RNAcentral
GGAGAGUUGGCUGAGUGGUCGAAGGCGCACGACUGGAAAUCGUGUAUACCCGUGAAGGGUAUCUAGGGUUCAAAUCCCUAACUCUCCGCCA